GGGUGUAAAGGGGAGCGUAGACGGGCCGUGUAAGUCUUGAAGUGAAAGGCCCGGGGGCUCAACCCCCGGGGACUGCUUUUGAAACUAUGCAGCUAGAGUGUCGGAGAGGUAAGUGGAAUUCCCAGUGUAGCGGUGAAAUGCGUAGAUAUUGGGAGGAACACCAGUGGCGAAGGCGGCUUACUGGACGAUGACUGACGUUGAGGCUCGAAAGCGUGGGGAGCAAACAGGCUUAGAUACCCUGGUAGUCCACGCCGUAAACGAUGACUACUAGGUGUCGGGUGUCACAGACAUUCGGUGCCGCAGCAAACGCAAUAAGUAGUCCACCUGGGGAGUACGUUCGCAAGAAUGAAACUCAAAGGAAUUGACGGGGACCCGCACAAGCGGUGGAGCAUGUGGUUUAAUUCGAAGCAACGCGAAGAACCUUACCUGGUCUUGACAUCCCUAUGACCGACGAGUAAUGUCGUCUUUCCUUCGGGACAGAGGAGACAGGUGGUGCAUGGUUGUCGUCAGCUCGUGUCGUGAGAUGUUGGGUUAAGUCCCGCAACGAGCGCAACCCUUAUCUUCAGUAGCCAGCAUUUAAGGUGGGCACUCUGGAGAGACUGCCAGGGAUAACCUGGAGGAAGGUGGGGAUGACGUCAAAUCAUCAUGCCCCUUAUGACCAGGGCUACACACGUGCUACAAUGGCGUAAACAAAGGGAAGCAGAGCCGCGAGGCCGAGCAAAUCCCAAAAAUAACGUCUCAGUUCGGAUUGUAGUCUGCAACUCGACUACAUGAAGCUGGAAUCGCUAGUAAUCGCGAAUCAGCAUGUCGCGGUGAAUACGUUCCCGGGUCUUGCACUCACCGCCCGUCA
This 850-nucleotide ribosomal RNA is filed under the name uncultured bacterium. RNAcentral describes it as "bacterial SSU rRNA". It matches the Rfam family "Bacterial small subunit ribosomal RNA", at positions 556 to 1399 of the family's 1533-position model. The record is from RNAcentral.